Molecule: long non-coding RNA, 5295 nt
Organism: Magnolia sinica
Lineage: Eukaryota; Viridiplantae; Streptophyta; Magnoliopsida; Magnoliales; Magnoliaceae
Exons: 2
Source: RefSeq, a predicted model, not a curated record
GGAAUGUGGGUGAUCAACUUAUAAUAGUUUGUUAACUAGGAAAUAUAGUCUUGUUGUUGUCAUAGUCUUUGUAAGAAUAUCCGCAAUCUGAUCUUGAGAUGCCAUGUGUGGGAGAUAAAUAAUAUUAGUUUCUUAAAAAUAUCCGCUAUCUAAUCCUGAGAUGCCACGUGUGGGAGGGAAAUAAUCUUAGACGAAAACUUCUCUUGAAUGAAGGGACAAUCAACCCCAAUAUUGUCCUCUUGUAAAAGACAUGUUUAGAAGUAAUCUGGACAAUGCUGGUGUUAUCUACAUGAAGCGGAGUCAUGGUAGUAAUAUCAAUCUCAAAAUAAAAAAAGGUCUCAUAAACAAAUGAUCUCAAUACAGCAGAGACACAACUCGAUACUUAGCCUUCGUGGUGAACUUGGAGAUCGUUUGUUGCUUCUUAGGCUUUCAAGAUAAAAGUGAAGUGCUAAGAAUCAUAGAAUACCUUGUAGUAGAUCUACGGGUGAGAGCACAUUCAACACAAUCACUACAGGCAGAAGACUUAGCUCGAUACUUAGCCUCCAUGCUUGACUUAGAGACCGUUGGUUGCUUCUUACGCUUCCAAGAUAUAAUGAAGUGCUAUGAAACAUACAAUGCCCUAUAGUAGAUCCAUGGGUGAGGGCACAUUCAACCCAAUCAACAUCGGCAUGGGCAACAAGCUCAAGGGAGAUAUAGAUGAAAAGAACAAUGACUGAUAUGAGCAUGCAAGGUAUGUGACUCGACAACAAUCUAACUAACAACCUAUACCGCAUAGGUGAUAUCUGGUUUGAUCAUCAUCUUGCAUCUUGACUGUCCUUUGAUUAGAAAGAUGCAUGGGGUCGAUGAGAUCCUGGGUAUAUUUUUGUUGGCUAACAAGUAUACCACGAUUUGUAUGAGAAACCUCCAAUCCAAGGAAGUGCAUGUAAGUUGCCCCUAAUCCUUGUGUAGUAGGAUGACUAAAGAGCCUGUUGAAGAUAUGUGAUUCUAAUUAUGUAAACUUGAUCAAGAGCAAAUUGUCAACAUAAACUAGUAAAACUUCAAUGCCACGGGAUGAAGACCAAGUGAAUAAGGAGGAAUCAUGACCACUCUGUCUAAACCCAACCCUAAUCACAACCUCGUGGGACUGUUGAAACCAAGCACGAGGUGCUUAUUUUAGCCCAUAUAAUACUUUACGAAGUCUGCACACCAAAUCUUUAUGACCCGUGUUGGAAUCAGGAUGCUAAGCAAUGUACACGGUUUCUUGUAAAUUCCCAUGAAGAAAUGGAUUCUUCAUGGCCAUCUGUCGAAUAGACCAAUCACGAGUGGCAACAAUGGCAAUAAGCAUCUAAAUAACCUUCAUCUUGGCCAUUAGUGCAAUGGUCUCCUCAUAGUCAAUGCCAUAGUUCUGCUUGUAGCCUUGGGCCAUGAGAUUUAGUUCUGCUUGUAGCCUUGGGCCACGAGAUGAACCUUGUACCGAUCAGGGGAUUCGUUUGACUUUAGCUUUAUAGAAUACGUCCACUUACUACCAAUCACCUGCUAACCUGGUGUGCGAAGAACAAGGUCCCAUAUGUGAUUAUCUGCUAAUGCCUGUAACUUUUCUGCCAUAGCAUCCCUCCAACAUUGAUGUUUAGAAGCCUAAAAAUAAGAGGUAGGAACAAAAAUGGAAUCAAUUCCAGAAAACAUACAACAAAUGAGUCAAUUGGGAGGUUGGGAUUUGUGGGUAGAUCGAUGUACCUCUUGAAGGGAUGGAUCAAUUGCAGGUUGAGCCAUAGGAGGAGGGGGAGGCACUUCUCUCACUUGUCAUUGAUAAACCUGCAAAGGAGUUUCAGUCGCAUUUGCAAUAAGAGGGAUAUCAGGAAACUAGGUUAAUCCAUUAGAGACAAUAGAAUGAGCAAUUGAAUUUUGUGAGAGUUGAGCAUGAAAUGGAACAUUUUGUAAGAAAGCAACAUUCAUCGAACUCUACGAGCAUUGGAGUCAUAGCAACGAUAGCCUUUUUGAGUGUCUCCGAACUGGAAAUACAUAUAUAGCAAGUAGACUUUGGAGAUGGUUUAUUACAUUCAUGUGGGUAAAGAUGAACAUAACAAACACAUCCAAAUAUGCAAAAUAAUGAGUAAGGAGGAAGAGAACCGAAGAUAACAAAAGUAAGGAUAAAUACUGCCAAGAAGUUUGGUCAGCAUGUGGUUUAUGAGAUAGACAAUGUAAAAUUGUCUCAGCCCAGAAUGUAUGUGGAACAAAGGUAUCUACCAUCAUGGUGUUGGUUGUCUUGAUAAUGUGUCGAUUCUUGCUAAAUCUUUCAUUUAAUAAUACUAUAGUGUUGGGGUGUAUCGGGACAAAUAUUUUGAUAAAUAAUCCCAUGAUCAUGUAGAUAUGCCUUGAACUUCAGAGAGAUGUAUGCCCCUCCUCAAUCUGAGCGGAUAACCUUAAUCUUUUUCUCAAACUGUAUGGCCAUCGUAGUUGUAGAACUGUCGAAAUAUUGUGAAUACCCAGGACUUGGAGUGUAAAAAAUAUAUUCAUGUAUAUCUAAAGAAUUCAUUUAUCAAUGUCACAUGAUACUCUGCAUGCCAGACAUGGACUAAACCGAGGAUGGCCCCCAAACAUCAGUAUGCGCAAUCUUAAAAGGGGCAGUAGAUUAAGAAGUACUAGGAGAAAAAUGCUUACAUUUACUUUUAGAUAAACAAAAUCAAGAACAGGAGAUAUCAAGCGAAGAUUUAUUAACUUUCAGUUUGCCCAAAAUACCAGAAGAAAAACAAAUGUGAUAGUUGAUUAGGGUGUAAAUGACCAAUGUGGCCGUGUCAAAGUUUCCACACUUUAUUGCAUGAUUAAUAUCAUGAGAAGGAGAAACGAAACGAGAAGUUGGUGUAACUGAGUUUCGAAAUCCAACAAGAUGAGCCGUCCCUUCCUCCUACCCUUCCCAACUACUUUGCCCGUUGUAGGAUAUUGUACGAAACAACAAUCGGGAAAUAAAAUUAGUAAGCACUGGUUCUAGACUAACUAACCACAGAUAUAAGAUUUACAGACAAUUUAGGUACAUGAAAGACAUUAGUGAGAGUAAAUGUACAAUGCUAAGAAUGGGAGAAAGAUAACGAUCCAACAAAUAAAAUAUGUAGUUGGAGCUCUAUCUACGAUAGAUAUGACUAAGUUACUCUUGGAUGGCUUCACAUUGUUGAGAUGAGAUUCAUUACUUGUCACAUGGUUGGACGCAUCCGGAAUUAAAAUACCAAGGAAACUAAAGGGAUGUAGCUAACAAUCCGGCCAUCGGAAAGGCUUGGUGAUUUACAGAAUCAUUUUAGGAGUAAUUGGACUAGUAGGAGUAGCCAUGGCACUUGUAGACGAGUCAUUGGUUGCGGUCAUAUAGGCUCUUCCUCUGGCAUUCUUCUUCUUCGUGCACUCUUGGAUGUUGUGUCUACGAAAUUGCAAAACUCAUAGAGAGGACUGUCUUUGCAAGUUGUAGCAAGAUGGCCAAACUUCUUACACCUAUAACACUAUGUGAGACAUGUCAGGUUUCCAAGGUGCUGGUGAAAAGGCUAAAAUAACUGUAUCCGAGGUGCCAAGAAGUUGGGGUACACCAGUUAGAGUCUUGAGUAUUUGCUCUUUUGCUAAUAAGUCACUUAUCACCACACUUAUGGCGGGAAAAGGACUAUAGUUAAGUAAAGUAGCCGACAAUGCUCAAAAUUAGGAUGCAAUUUCAUAAGAAACUGCCUAACAUGGGUUCUCUCUCACACAUUCUGAAAAAUGGAGAUAACAUCUAUUAAAAAUUUAAGAUCCAUCAUCGACAUCUAAGUCCAAAUAGCCACUAUUGCAUUAUAAAAUUUCUAAAUCGUUCGAUCUCUCUGUGUGAUCUGAGCCAAUUCUUGUUCUAGUCAAUAUAACUGAUAUUCAUUGCUUUGUUAAUAGAUAAUUUUCAGAUAAUCCUACAUAUCCUUCUUUGUCCUAUAAGGAGUUAGGCCAACAACAAUUGUUUUGUCAACCGAGUCUAAAAUUCAUGUGACAAAUUUUCUAUUUUUAAAUUUUCCACACAGUCAGUUCUUUGGGUUGAUCUAUUUUGGGAAAGGGAUUGGUUCUAUCAACCAUACACUAGAAUCCUCGCCUUCAAGAAUUCUUGAAAUGAAUGGACCAAAGUCCAUAAUUGUUGCCAUCAAACAUGCAACGUGAAGAAAAAGUCUCUAUCCAUGAUAUUGGGUGACGACAAUCUAUAAAUUCAACUCAAAAGUGGCAUAAUGUUGGGUAUAUCUUGACUCAUGGAUUGGAUCUGGGAUGGGUGUGCUGAAAACGGAUUGCGAAAAGUUGCAAGGAAGACUAAUGGUGGGUUAGCGGCUUAGAUUUGAAGUGCUUGGUGGGAAGUAGGAGCUGGAGUUGAGCAACAACAACAUGGCUGCGUUGGCGAACAACGGCGCUAGAGACGAGGCAAGUGCUGCAUGAAGAUCACCCGUUGCUACAGCGGCCGCGAUGGUGGAACUAGAACCGAGAGAUGCUGCAAACAUAUAGGGUCUUGCAACAUCUGGAAUGUUUGGAACUGGGAGAUCGCUGCGAAUGUCUGGAAUUGGGAGAUCUCUGGAAUCAGUUGUAGCGUCCGGAAGGUGAGGCAGUGGUAAUGUUGAUCCGGCAGACAGUGAUGGGGUUACAGUGAUGUGCUGCUGCCAAUGGAUAUUCUCGGCUGCCAUUUGUGACUGGGUUGCUAGAGUUGCAAAGAGAUGUAGGGUUCGGGGUGGAAGAGUGGCUGCAAGGUGGUAGGUUUGGCUGGUGCGAUGGAGGUGAUGCCCAUCACUAUUGUUGCGGCGACGAUGACGAAUGGCAGCUGCUUCGGUAGAAGGGCCAGCAAUUGAGUAGAUCAGCCUCUGCGGGUAGCAACGGUGUUGUGACAGAAAUGAAAAGAGGAAGAUGACAGUGGUUCCUCUAAUUGGUGGUCAGAAUAGCUGCUGCUUUGGUAGAAGGGGCAGCAAUUGAGUAGAUCAGCCUCUGUGGGUGGCAACGGUGUUGUGACAGAAAUGAAAAGAGGAAGAUGACAGUGGUUCCUCUAAUUGGUGGUUAGAAUGGCAGCUGCUUCGGUAGAAGGAGCAACAAUUGAGUAGAUCAGCCUCUGCGGUAGCAACAGUGUUGUGACAGAAAUGAAAAAAGGAAGAUGACAAUGGUUCCUCUAAUUGGUGAUCAGAAUGGCAGCUGCUUCUGUUAGAUCGAUGGCCUAGAUUUGCUCUGAUACUAUGAUAACAGAAAAGAAGUCUUGGAAAAUUCUCUAGUUAGCUAUGUACAUUGCUUUACCCCAAUAGGGUUUAAAUAGAGAUAUAUAAUGAUAUGCAAGGAAGUAAAUCUAUUGCGCUA